AUGACACACAAACCGAGGUUGAUGAAUUUUUCACUCAUUUUUCUCACAAAGAAGCCCCGGUGAACGGCGGCCGUAACUAUAACGGUCCUAAGGUAGCGAAAUUCCUUGUCGGGUAAGUUCCGACCCGCACGAAAGGCG
Non-coding RNA from Nicotiana attenuata, 138 nucleotides. Lineage: Eukaryota; Viridiplantae; Streptophyta; Magnoliopsida; Solanales; Solanaceae. The record is from Rfam.